RNAcentral lists this ribosomal RNA (661 nucleotides) under uncultured bacterium. RNAcentral's name for it is "bacterial SSU rRNA". It matches the Rfam family "Bacterial small subunit ribosomal RNA", at positions 94 to 788 of the family's 1533-position model. The record is from RNAcentral.
AGUGGCGGACGGGUGAGUAACGCGUGAGAAUCUGCCUUCAGAUCGGGGACAACAGAGGGAAACUUCUGCUAAUCCCGGAUGAGCCUUAGGGUAAAAAAUUUAUUGCCUGGAGAUGAGCUCGCGUCUGAUUAGCUAGUUGGUAAGGUAAAAGCUUACCAAGGCAACGAUCAGUAGCUGGUCUGAGAGGAUGAGCAGCCACACUGGGACUGAGACACGGCCCAGACUCCUACGGGAGGCAGCAGUGGGGAAUUUUCCGCAAUGGGCGAAAGCCUGACGGAGCAAGACCGCGUGGGGGAGGAAGGCUCUAGGGUUGUAAACCCCUUUUCUUUGGGAAGAACAAAAUGACGGUACCAAAGGAAUCAGCCUCGGCUAACUCCGUGCCAGCAGCCGCGGUAAUACGGAGGAGGCAAGCGUUAUCCGGAAUGAUUGGGCGUAAAGCGUCCGCAGGUGGCAAUGUAAGUCUGCUGUCAAAACCCAGGGCUCAACUCUGGUCAGGCAGUGGAAACUACAUAGCUAGAGUUCGGUAGGGGCAAAGGGAAUUCCCGGUGUAGCGGUGAAAUGCGUAGAGAUCGGGAAGAACAUCGGUGGCGAAAGCGCUUUGCUAGACCGAAACUGACACUCAGGGACGAAAGCUAGGGGAGCGAAUGGGAUUAGAUACCCC